AGAGUUUGAUCCUGGCUCAGAACGAACGCUGGCGGCAGGCUUAACACAUGCAAGUCGAGCGCCCCGCAAGGGGAGCGGCAGACGGGUGAGUAACGCGUGGGAACCUACCCUUUUUUACGGAAUAACGCAUGGAAACGUGUGCUAAUACCGUAUACGCCCUGAGGGGGAAAGAUUUAUCGGAGAAGGAUGGGCCCGCGUUGGAUUAGCUAGUUGGUGGGGUAAAGGCCUACCAAGGCGACGAUCCAUAGCUGGUCUGAGAGGAUGAUCAGCCACAUUGGGACUGAGACACGGCCCAAACUCCUACGGGAGGCAGCAGCGGGGAAUAUUGGACAAUGGGCGCAAGCCUGAUCCAGCCAUGCCGCGUGAGUGAUGAAGGCCCUAGGGUUGUAAAGCUCUUUCACCGGUGAAGAUAAUGACGGUAACCGGAGAAGAAGCCCCGGCUAACUUCGUGCCAGCAGCCGCGGUAA
Molecule: ribosomal RNA, 467 nt
Filed under: uncultured bacterium
Lineage: Bacteria
Description: bacterial SSU rRNA
Rfam family: Bacterial small subunit ribosomal RNA
Source: RNAcentral